GAAAUUGAAUUUAAAUAAUGAAAAAAUGUGCUAGGGUCAAAAGAGAGUUUAUGCAUGACUCCGAUGUAAACCUCAUUGUGUGCCACCACGCCGGAAAUCACCUCCGGCUGCGGUGGCCACCAAAAACACAGAUUUGACCCACCAUCUAGCUCGUCUUCUCAUGCUCUUCCUAAACCUUCCCUCAAUUCCAUGAAAAUCUAAACCUAAGGUUGUAACCGAAUCAUGAUAUCCCAAGAACUCUAGGUGUUGGAAGUUAAAUUAAAUGCUCCUUACGAGGACUUUAAGCUUAGGACCCUAGAGUUUUUGUUCCUCCCUCAACACUCUAUGUCAUAGUAUAAAAAAUGGUGAAAAGUGAAGGUUUCAUAAGUUACUUGCCGGAGACGACGAAGGCGAUGACGAAUUUCCGAUGAGUCCUUCUUACUCUGAAUCUCUUUUUUUUCUUUUGAUUAUACAACCUUCUUCUCCUUCUUCUCGUUGUUUAUGUUGUGUUCACCGUGAUUGAAUUGAACCGAGUUAGUGAGUGAAGCUUGAGAGGUUAUGGUGAGUGAUUGAGUUGUGAGAGUUCUAGGUUGGUGAAGGUUGAUGAAUGAUGAAGACACGUUUUUGGGGAGGAGAGGUUUUUGGAAUUUGAGAGGUUUAUGAGGAUUUUCUGAUUGUUGAGAAUGAGAGGUUUAAUGAUUGAAUUCUGGUAAAAAUGAUUUCCCUCCUCCUGAUUGAGGAGAUGAUGAAUUGUAUUUAUGAGUUGUUAUGAUGUGGCCCAGGGAUCUAAGAAAUCAGUUAGGGAAGUUUGUUGUAAUUGAAAUAUUCAUGAAAUCGAGGAAAAAUGGUUAUGAGUUUUGUUAUUGUAGUUAGUUAGGUUAGUUGAUAUUUGGUGGUGAUGGAUUCUUGCAACUAGGGUGUGUUGUGAUGGGGUAUGGCUCAUGAACUUAAGACAUUUGGAGCAAGACCACCAUGAAUGACUUGAAGAAAAUGGUUACUUACAAGUGAAGAAAUUUGGUAAUGAAGUUGAAAAUGAAAAUGAAAGCAUGAAGAGCAAAGUGGAAACUUGACAUUAGGUUUAGGGAUUUAGAUGAGUUGACUUUGGUCAAUCGGUUGACCAAAAAGUCAAUAGUUGACCAAAGUCAACUACAGGCCAAAAGUCAAUUUUUUUGUAUUUUUUUGUAUUUUAUUCAUGUAUGGAUAUUUUUAUGAUCUAUGUAAUGGAAUUUGGUAUUUGAAUGAAAUGGAUUAGUAUUUGAAUGAA
Molecule: long non-coding RNA, 1243 nt
Organism: Lathyrus oleraceus (garden pea)
Lineage: Eukaryota; Viridiplantae; Streptophyta; Magnoliopsida; Fabales; Fabaceae
Exons: 2
Source: RefSeq, a predicted model, not a curated record